GACGAACGCUGGCGGCGUGCUUAACACAUGCAAGUCGAGCGGUAAGGCCCCUUCGGGGGUACACGAGCGGCGAACGGGUGAGUAACACGUGAGCAAUCUGCCCAUCACAUCGGGAUAACUCCGGGAAACCGAAGCUAAUACCGAAUACGACCACCUCCGGCAUCGGAUGGUGGUGGAAAGUUCCGGCGGUGAUGGAUGAGCUCGCGGCCUAUCAGCUUGUUGGUGGGGUAACGGCCCACCAAGGCUUCGACGGGUAGCCGGCCUGAGAGGGUGACCGGCCACACUGGGACUGCGACACGGCCCAGACUCCUACGGGAGGCAGCAGUGGGGAAUAUUGGACAAUGGGCGAAAGCCUGAUCCAGCAACGCCGCGUGAGGGAUGACGGCCUUCGGGUUGUAAACCUCUUUCAGCAGGGACGAAGCGCAAGUGACGGUACCUGCAGAAGAAGCACCGGCCAACUACGUG
Molecule: ribosomal RNA, 465 nt
Filed under: uncultured bacterium
Lineage: Bacteria
Description: partial 16S ribosomal RNA
Rfam family: Bacterial small subunit ribosomal RNA
Source: RNAcentral